GUGCAGUGACCUUUUACAGACGUGGAAACUGAAGCCCAGAGGUCUGAAGUAACUCCUCCAAGUUCACGGUAGAAUCCAGAUUUUCUGGCUCCACAGCUUGUGCCGGUGAUCGGAGCAGGUUUUGAGAGGACUCGCUCAAGGUCGCUCGGCCGCCACGUGGCAGAGCCAGGUGCAGGGUCCCAGUCUGCAGACGUCCACGCGGCUGCUGUUCCUUCAGAUGACGCUGCGUCCAGGUGUCUCUUUGGAAGUGAUCGCGUCUUCCCAGUCAUCACCGCCAAGCGGAGUUUGGCAUCAGCCAUUGGACGUGCUCACUUCACUGCCCGUCUAUCUGCUGACGUUUCAUUAGGGAGCCAUGUGCCUUUGCCAAGGAUGAAUGAGUUCAUUAGCUCUGAGACUAAUAAACUUUAAAAAG
Vicugna pacos (alpaca) is the source of this 412-nucleotide non-coding RNA. Lineage: Eukaryota; Metazoa; Chordata; Mammalia; Artiodactyla; Camelidae. The record is from RefSeq and is a predicted model, not a curated record.